CAUGUUUCAUAUGUUGGUACAGCAUCAUAUCAACAUUUGUAAUCAAAAUGCUCAAGUAUGAAUAAUUGGUGACAGGCUUUGAGCAGUAGCAGUGAGAACAGCAACAGACUACAUAAAAAAAAAAGAGAAAAAAAAAUCAAUUUCUGCACAGAAUUAUGUAGAAUUGAUAAUCGACACAGCGUUAUUUAGACAUAUGCAGUCCUGGAUGACAAAGAUGUGCCCUGAUAUUGAAUUAAGAGCAAUGUAUAGAACAGGUAGCGUAGGAACUUAUUAACACGAAAAUCUUUUCAAAUGUUUUUU
This is a non-coding RNA of Pelobates cultripes (western spadefoot toad), 300 nucleotides long. The record is from the annotation of a GenBank genome assembly. Lineage: Eukaryota; Metazoa; Chordata; Amphibia; Anura; Pelobatidae.